CCGGCCGUCCCGCAACGCGCUUGCGGAAGAGGCGAGCCGGUUCGAGGUGUUCAAGGACAACCUCCGCUACAUCGACGCCCAUAACGCGGCGGCCGACCGCGGGGAGCACGCCUUCCGCCUCGGCCUCAACCGGUUCGCCGACCUGACCAACGAGGAGUACCGGGCCAAGUACCUAGGCGUCCGGGCCGCCGCGUCCCGCAGGAGGAGGGCCUCAUCGGAGGGCAGCAACCGGUACCGGCUGAGGGACGGCGAUGAUUUGCCUGAUUCAAUCGAUUGGAGGGAGAAGGGCGCUGUUGUCGGCGUUAAAGAUCAAGGCAGCUGCGGUGGGUGCUGAUAUUACCAUUUCUCCCUGCGUUGACUUCAAUUAGUUGCAAUUUCUGCUCUAUUUUUCUGUUUGGUUUCUGCUAAUAACACUUUAAAUCUGAUAUUAUUUUCAUUUAAUUACAUUUACAUGAAGAUAGAUCUUUUCCCCUUUUUUCCCCUCCUUGUGAAGUUAUGAUUUUUACCCUUUUCUUCUGUUUUGACUUUUGGUAAACGACAUGAUUUUGCUUACUAUGAUGUACCAAAGGUGUUGUAUUUUGGAUGAUCUGCGAAUAGAUCUGCUUUCAGAUUCUGUUUCAGCCCCCCUUCUUGUGUAAAUUUCGCUUACUCUACAAAAUUAUUAACUGCUAGUAUCACACUUAGUUCAUGAUUCAGGAUCUUAUCCUGUUAGAUCAAGUCACCAAUGAAUGAUUUUUUGGUUUCAAAGAUCUGAAUUGGCAUGCUGAUGAUAUCUAGAUCUGUUGGUGUCACAGGGAGCUGCUGGGCAUUUUCGACGAUUGCUGCUGUGGAAGGUAUCAACCAGAUCGUGACCGGCGACCUGAUCUCUCUGUCCGAGCAGGAAUUGGUGGACUGCGACACCUACUACAACCAGGGCUGCAACGGGGGGCUCAUGGAUUAUGCCUUUGAGUUCAUCAUCAACAAUGGUGGUAUCGACACCGAUGAGGACUACCCAUACAAGGCCCGAGAUGGAACUUGCGAUACUUACAGGGUGACCUAUUGAUUAGUCAUUUGAAACUAGCAACCCCCUUUUUUUCCUGUUGCUUUGUUGUUUGUGGGUGAUGUUCUAAUGAGGUUUGGUGCCCACCUUUGUCAUGUAGAAAAAUGCACAUGUUGUGGCAAUUGACGCAUAUGAGGAUGUUCCGGUUAACGAUGAGAAGUCUCUGCAAAAAGCAGUUGCUAACCAACCGGUUAGUGUUGCUAUUGAAGCUGGUGGCAGGACAUUCCAGCUUUAUGACACGGUAAAGUUGCCACAAGAUAAUGCAAUUUUAUAUUUCUACCAAUAUUCUUUGUUUAUAAAAUUAUGUCACGGCUUAAACUACAACUUGAUUUUCUUUGAACCGAUGUUCUAAUCCUUAUGGAAGCUUGCAGACUUUUAUACUUCCACAUUAUGGUGACCUAGGUUGAAAAUCUUUGAUCACUUCUAAUUGAAUAGAUUGUCAUUUGAUACAGCAACAACAAAUGUUUUAACAAUUUGGGACUGAUUAUAAAUAUCUUUUUUACUGAUUGAACUCCAUUCAACACAAUAUUUCUGGUUAAGUCAAGGACAUUCAAUUUUCCUUUAUUGUUUUUAGUAAAGAAAUUUUCAGUCUCUCUCUCUCUCUCCAAUUUUUUCUCGCACCACCAUUAAUCAACUCACCUCUUCUAACCAUACUAUCUACAGAUUUUUGUUGAAUAUUUUUAUAAUAUCUUAGAUGAUUUUUUCUUAUUUUAUAGUUUAUCGGAUUACAACCAAUUGUUCACAAAUAAAUAUCUGUUUAAUCUUUUCUUGUGGCUCUGCAUACCUAUCUUGCGUUUUCAUGUGAGCUAUACAAGCUUUUCAUAUAUAUUGAUUUUCAACUGUCCAAUACUUCAAUUCAUUAAGCCACAACAAUCUUUUAUACUCAAUCUCCCUCUCCAUCUUAACCAUCAAACUUAUGAAAAAUAUCUCCAUUAAUCCUUUUUACCAUGUUGAAUGAUAAAUUUAAAAAUAUUUAAAAUAAUUUUCAUGUAUGACCUUCUUAUCCAUCCAUCCUGACUUCAUCCUCACUUCUUCUCUUAAAUUAUCUAAAAUUAUAGUUCAUAUUCAAUCUUAGUAAAUUUUAAUCUAGAACCUUUAAUUUCUGAGAUUUGACUCGGUAAUUCAAGUUUAAAAUUUUAUUCCAGCUAAAAUUCCAUAUAUUAAAAUAAUAUCAUUAGCAAAUAGCAUAUAUGAUUAGUCAGUUUGCCUAUUAUAAGGACCAUAAUAUGUUUAUGUUGCAUCAGAAUUUAGAUUCCCUAAAUAUUUUUAUGAAUCUGUGGUUUUUUUCUCUAGACUGUUAUAAUUUCUAAUGUGUGGUUAAUUAAUAUGGAAGACACUGCAAAUAGACAAAUGCCACUAGAAAUAGAAAUUCUUAAUUAAACCCUUUCCAUGAUAAUACAAAUGCAUUAAGCGGCAUGGUUUGAGAAUUAUGAUCUAUUGUUUGUGAUAUGAAAUUUAGUUGGUUAGUAAUCUUCUUCUUGAAAUUCUGUGAAUGAUUUAGAUGAUACCAUCUGAGCAGUGGCACAGGUUCCAUUUGAUGAUGGAUUUGCUUUGUGAUAUGUGAUGUACAUAUAUCUCCAGUUUGCUGCCUAAUAUAUAUAUAUAUAUAUAUAUAUAUAUAUAUAUAUAUAUAUAUAUAUAUAUAUAUAUAUAUAAUGUCCACAAGUCUUUUUUUUUUCCAAGCUGCUACUUUCCUUCCUUCAAAUCUAUAGAUGUCUUUCAUGUUGAUGAGUUGAAAAAAUUAUUACUCCAAUUUUUUUUCAGGGAAUAUUCACCGGAUCUUGUGGGACUGCACUAGAUCAUGGUGUGACUGCCGUAGGCUAUGGCUCCAAGAAUGGCCAGGACUACUGGCUUGUGAAGAACUCAUGGGGUGAAGACUGGGGCGAGGCUGGAUACAUACGAAUGGAACGUAAUAUUGCAUCUGCCACUGGCAAGUGUGGUAUUGCAAUGGAGGCCUCAUACCCCAUUAAGAAGGGCCAGAACCCACCAAACCCUGGUCCAUCUCCACCUUCCCCUGUUAAGCCACCCACAGUCUGUGAUAACUACUACACCUGCCCAGAGAGUACCACAUG
RNAcentral lists this long non-coding RNA (3111 nucleotides) under Musa acuminata (dwarf banana). RNAcentral's name for it is "long non-coding RNA (MACU_LNC004296)". The record is from RNAcentral. Lineage: Eukaryota; Viridiplantae; Streptophyta; Magnoliopsida; Zingiberales; Musaceae.